GAUGAACGCUGGCGGCGUGCCUAGUACAUGCAAGUCGAGCGAACGGACGAGAAGCUUGCUUCUCUGAUGUUAGCGGCGGACGGGUGAGUAACACGUGGAUAACCUACCUAUAAGACUGGGAUAACUUCGGGAAACCGGAGCUAAUACCGGAUGAUAUUUUGAACCGCAUGGUUCAAAAGUGAAAGACGGUCUUGCUGUCACUUAUAGAUGGAUCCGCGCUGCAUUAGCUAGUUGGUAAGGUAACGGCUUACCAAGGCAACGAUGCAUAGCCGACCUGAGAGGGUGAUCGGCCACACUGGAACUGAGACACGGUCCAGACUCCUACGGGAGGCAGCGGUAGGGAAUCUUCCGCAAUGGGCGAAAGCCUGACGGAGCAACGCCGCGUGAGUGAUGAAGGUCUUCGGAUCGUAAAACUCUGUUAUUAGGGAAGAACAUAUGUGUAAGUAACUGUGCACAUCUUGACGGUACCUAAUCAGAAAGCCACGGCUAACUACGUG
This 497-nucleotide ribosomal RNA is filed under the name uncultured bacterium. RNAcentral describes it as "partial 16S ribosomal RNA". It matches the Rfam family "Bacterial small subunit ribosomal RNA", at positions 28 to 507 of the family's 1533-position model. The record is from RNAcentral.